UAAGUUUUCCUUAUUUAUAGGAAGUGAGAUUUGUUUUUGUUUUCUUGAGAGAGCAAGUACCGAGCACGUAAAUUUUAUCAUUUGAAACGAAAUUGUAGCUUCGAUAUGAAAAUAAAUAUAAGGAUAGAUAUUCAGUGAACUAAGUGUUUUUUUUUUUUUUUAAGGCUCUGUGGACUUAGUUCAUAUAUACACUUUUUUAAAAUGAUAUAAAAUUUAUUUUUCAUAUUUUUAAAUAAAUCCCAUAUGAUUAUGAAAAUA
Molecule: unclassified non-coding RNA, 258 nt
Filed under: Hevea brasiliensis (rubber tree)
Lineage: Eukaryota; Viridiplantae; Streptophyta; Magnoliopsida; Malpighiales; Euphorbiaceae
Source: RNAcentral